UGCACGGUGGUGCAGUUGGUAGCACUGUUGCUUUGCAGCAAGAAGGUCCUGGGUUCAAUUCCUGGGUCUUUCUGCAU
Non-coding RNA from Characodon lateralis, 77 nucleotides. The record is from the annotation of a GenBank genome assembly. NCBI's taxonomy places the organism in Eukaryota, Metazoa, Chordata, Actinopteri, Cyprinodontiformes, Goodeidae.